Non-coding RNA from Arachis ipaensis, 1955 nucleotides. NCBI's taxonomy places the organism in Eukaryota, Viridiplantae, Streptophyta, Magnoliopsida, Fabales, Fabaceae. The record is from RefSeq and is a predicted model, not a curated record.
CCUUAUUGCGCCUCCCUCCCUUACCAAAGCUCUCCCUCUCACUCUCAACAUACACUCAAACACUUUCUGACUUACCGCCGAUCACUGCCUCCUUCACCCACCUCACCACCGUUCUCCAUGCGCCCUUGUUCACGCAAAAAAUAUAUGUUCAGUACUUCUCCUCCAGGAACUUUCUAUUAUCAUUGGCUCACUAUUUUUUUGUCUUUAUUUUUUAUUUUUUUCUUUUAAAUCUAUAGGCUAAAGUAGAAAAUCUUAUAAAUAAGGAGCACCAGUUAGACGAGCAAAUAAGGUUUCAGUGUCCUCUGCUGAUUCUACUAAACCCUAAACAUUUGUCAUACUUGUCUGCUAUCUUUUUAACUAAUGCUUAAUCUUUAUUACAAUGAGAUGCGAGAAAGAUUAAAAGGUCUUAGUGAAGAUGAAAACACUCAAAGGUCAGAGAGCAUUUAAAAAUAAUCACCAUAUGACUGAUGAGGUGGUCCUGGAUGAUAAAAUUAACAGUGUUGUGCGAGUUCUUUCUGGUGGCAUGAAGAGGAAAUUGUCUCUUGGAGUUGCAUUAAUAGGGAACAAUAAAGUAGUAUGCAUAUAAAAAACACUUGCUCUAUUUUUGUAUUCAUAUAUUGACAAAAAAUUGGAAUCCCUUGGUCUUACCUGGCAUGUUAUAAUUCUUGAUGAACCUCCCAGCGGAAUGGAUCCAUACUCAAUGCGUUUGACUUCAUAGUUAAUACAAAAAUUUAAGAAGGGAAGGAUAAUCUUACUAACAACUCAUUCAAUGGAUGAAUUAGAUGAACUAGAUAAUCGGAUAGCUAUCAUGGCCAAUGGUUUUCUGAAAUGCCGAGGAAGGUUUAAUUUACUUCUCACUUUCUCCAAUUACACCGUCCAUUUGAAAGCUAGUGAUUGAAAUGGAACAUGAGGAUCAAUGACAAAAUUUAUAUAUGCAGAUUAAGUUGUGUAUAUAUGUAUAUAUUUUAUUAUAUGCCUUUAUCCACUUUGUACUUUCCUUUCUCAACUAGGUUAAUUUCUUUUUCUACUAUCCUCUCAUGGUGCGCAUACGCGUGCAUGUGCACCGACACCCAUGUGUGUGCACUGUUUGCCUAUUUUAAAUUUCAUAUUAGGCAACUCAUUAAAUUUUAUGAGCAGUUACUUUCUAAAUUUCCAGUUUUUUUGUUAUUUUCCUAUGAUGACUUGAUUUCUAGUGGCAAAAUUGGUGGAAAUUUAGUUUUAACUUUUGAAUGCACAUCUAGGUAUCAUGAUUGUAUUAUGCAUUUUUUUCUCCUCUUAUUUAUAGUUUUUUUUAUAGCUUACUUUCUUGAAGCAUCAUUAUGGAGUUGGUUAUAGUCUAACUCUUGUAAAGGUUUGUUCUAUCCCGAUAACUUCCUCUUCAAUUCAUUCAGGUGCUGAUGUUUCAUGGUGAAAAUGCUCUAUUUAUUCAUGUAUUUUCAGUUUUUCAUUUUUCUUUAAUUCUUGUCCUUUCAGUAAGCUCCUGUUGCUUCUAUAACUAGUGAUAUAGUAUAUCAUCAUGUUCCCUCAGCAACAUGUGUAAGCGAGGUGGAACUAAGAUUUUCUUUAGGCUUCCCCUAGCAUCUUCAUAAGCUUUUGAGGGGGUGUUUUAGGAAAAUUGAAGGUUGCAUGAAAAAACCACUUUUGAACAUGGAAAUAAGCGAUAACAGGGCUGCUAUGGUGGCUAGAGUAGUCGCGCGGUGAAAGCUGUUCACAACAGAAUGGAUGGACAAUUUUGUGAUACUAAUAUCUAAGAAUUAGGUUAUUAGCUUUUUGUGAUGGAAUUGUAAAUUUUCCUUUUACUAAUUCUGAGUACUUAUUUCUUAAGGUGUCACCUCGAAUAGCAAAAGCUUGCUGGAAGUUGAUCAUAGUCAUGGCUUUUCUUUUCUUCUUUUUCAAAUGUUUGUAACAUGUACAUACCAUGUAAAUCAAAUCAAUGAAAAAUGAAUCUUUUAACA